GACGAACGCUGGCGGCGUGCUUAACACAUGCCAGUCGAACGGAAAGGCCCUGCUUUUGUUGGGUGCUCGAGUGGCGAGCGGGUGAGUAACACGUGAGUAACCUGCCCUUGACUUUGGGAUAACUUCAGGAAACUGGGGCUAAUACCGGAUAGGAGCUCCUGCUGCAUGGUGGGGGUUGGAAAGUUUCGGCGGUUGGGGAUGGACUCGCGGCUUAUCCGCUUGUUGGUGAGGUAGUGGCUUACCAAGGCUUCGACGGGUAGCCGGCCUGAGAGGGUGACCGGGGACAAUGGGACUGAGAGACGCAGCAGAAUCGUACGGGAGGCAGCGGUGGAGAGUAUGGCACAACGGGGGGAAGCCUGAUGCGGCAACGCCGGGUGCGGGAUGACGGGCUUUGGGUGAUGAACAGCUUUGGACUGUGACGAAGCGUGAGUGACGGUAAUGGGUAAGAAAGCACCGGCUAACUACGUG
This 468-nucleotide ribosomal RNA is filed under the name uncultured bacterium. Its description in RNAcentral is "partial 16S ribosomal RNA". It matches the Rfam family "Bacterial small subunit ribosomal RNA", at positions 28 to 507 of the family's 1533-position model. The record is from RNAcentral.